This 1318-nucleotide long non-coding RNA is filed under the name Apteryx haastii (Great spotted kiwi). RNAcentral describes it as "lncRNA (ENSAHAG00000000870.1)". The record is from RNAcentral. Lineage: Eukaryota; Metazoa; Chordata; Aves; Apterygiformes; Apterygidae.
CGGCUCCAGGUGUCUCCGGGUGUCUCUGUGCGUCUCCAGGUGUCUCCGUGCGCAGCUCCAGGUGUCUCCGUGCGGCUCCGCGCACGUCUCCGGGCGUCUCCGGGUGUCUCCGUGCGGCUCCGCGCGCGGCUCCGGGCGUCUCCGGGUGUCUCCGGGCGCCCGGGAAGGGCUUUAUGGGGCCGCAGCCGGCGGGACCGGUCGGGCCGGGCGGGAGCCGGAGCCGCGUGGAGCCGGUCGGGCCGGCGCCGCGUUGGGAAAUAACGGGGCCGGCGGGAGCCCGCGGCGCCCCAACGCCCCUGACGCCGCCACCGCUGCCACCGGCUCCGGCUCCGCGCGGGGACACCGGGACACCGGGACGUGGGGACACGGGGGGACGCGGGGACACGGGGACAGACGUGUGUCCCUGUCCCAGCCCCACACGUGUCCCCGUGUUGGACCCACGCGCGUCCCCAUCCCAGUUCCCAUCCUGGCCCCACACGUGUCCCCAUCCGGGCAACAUGCGCGUCCCCAUCCCGGCCCCACACUUGUCCCCAUCUUCACCCCACAAGUGUCCCCAUGUUGGACCCACACGUGUUCCCAAACUGGCCCCAUGUGUGUCCCCAUCCCAGUCCCCCUCCCAGCCCCACACGUGUCCCCAUGUUGGACCCACACAUGUCCCUAUGCUGCCCCCAUACGUGUCCCCAUCCUGGCCCCACAUGUGCCCCAUGUUGGACCCACACAUGUUCCCAUGUUGGACCCACACGUGUCCCCAUCCCAGUCCCCAUCCCAGCCCCACACAUGUCCCCAUCUGGGCAACGUGCGUGUCCCCAUCCCAGCCCCACAUGUGUCUCCAUCCCAGCCCCACAUGUGUCCCCAUCCAGACCCCACGCAUGUCCCCAUGUUGGACCCAUGCAUGUCCCCAUCCCGGCCCCACAUGUGCCCCAUCUUGGCCCUAUGCAUGUCCCCAUCCUGGCCCCACACGUGUCCCCAUCUUGGCCCCACAAGUGCCCCCAUGUUGGACCCACACGUGUCCCUAUGCUGCCCCCAUACGUGUCCCCAUCCUGGCCCCACAUGUGUCCCAUCUUGACCCUAUGCAUGUCCCCAUGUUGGACCCACACGUGUCCCCAUCCCAGUCUCCAUCCCGGCCCCACACGUGUCCCCAUCUGGGCAACAUCUGUGUCCCCAUCUUGGCCCCACAUGUGCCCCAUCUUCAUCGCACACACGUGCUCCAUCCUUGCCCCACACAUGCCCCAUCUUGGCCCUAUGCAUGUCCCCAUGUUGGACCCACACAUGUUCCUAAGCGGGCCCCACAUGUGUCCCCAUGCCAGCCCCACACAUG